ACAUCAUUUAUAAUGCCUAGAUAGGUAGAUUAUUUAUGCUUCAUCUCUUGUCAUGCUAAAAAACAUUUAAUAUUGUCGUGUAAAUAAACGGGAGUGAAUUAAAUGAUUCAAGUAUGGAGAUUCGUCAAUAUGGAACUCGUUGCGUAUUGAGCCUCAUUUAAUGUGUAGUAAUAAAUUGUUGUGCUUUGUCGUGUCGUGCAUAAUUAAAUGGACAUGCAUCAUAAUUUCUUGCACAUCAUGUCAUGCAUAUGUGUGGUGUUAUCA
This 264-nucleotide long non-coding RNA is filed under the name Hordeum vulgare. Its description in RNAcentral is "long non-coding RNA (HVUL_LNC010095)". The record is from RNAcentral. Lineage: Eukaryota; Viridiplantae; Streptophyta; Magnoliopsida; Poales; Poaceae.